Molecule: non-coding RNA, 72 nt
Organism: Opisthorchis viverrini
Lineage: Eukaryota; Metazoa; Platyhelminthes; Trematoda; Opisthorchiida; Opisthorchiidae
Source: Rfam
UCCUCGGCAGUAUAGUGGUCAGUAUCUCCUCCUGUCACGUUGAAGGCCCGGGUUCGAUUCCCGGUCGGGAAU